UGCAUGUACCUGAAGAAUAAGGACCGGCUAAUUCCGUGCCAGCAGCCGCGGUAAUACGGAAGGUCCGGGCGUUAUCCGGAUUUAUUGGGUUUAAAGGGAGCGCAGGCGGCCUUUUAAGCGUGUUGUGAAAUGUAGUGGCUCAACCUCUGCACUGCAGCGCGAACUGGAGGGCUUGAGUACGCGGGAAGUAGGCGGAAUUCGUCGUGUAGCGGUGAAAUGCUUAGAUAUGACGAAGAACUCCGAUUGCGAAGGCAGCCUACUGUAGCGUUACUGACGCUAAAGCUCGAAAGUGUGGGUAUCGAACAGGAUUAGAUACCCUG
This 320-nucleotide ribosomal RNA is filed under the name uncultured bacterium. Its description in RNAcentral is "bacterial SSU rRNA". It matches the Rfam family "Bacterial small subunit ribosomal RNA", at positions 470 to 789 of the family's 1533-position model. The record is from RNAcentral.